CUCUGUGACUCCUACGGGGAGGCAGCAGUGGGGGAAUAUUGCACAAUGGGCGCAAGCCUGAUGCAGCCAUGCCGCGUGUAUGAAGAAGGCCUUCGGGUUGUAAAGUACUUUCAGCAGUGAGGAAGGUGGUGCAGUUAAUAGCUGUAUCAUUUGACGUUAGCUGCAGAAGAAGCACCGGCUAACUCCGUGCCAGCAGCCGCGGUAAUACGGAGGGUGCGAGCGUUAAUCGGAAUUACUGGGCGUAAAGCGCAUGCAGGUGGUUUGUUAAGUCAGAUGUGAAAGCCCGGGGCGUCAACCUCGGAAUUGCAUUUGAAACUGGCAGACUAGAGUACUGUAGAGGGGGGUAGGAAUUUCAGGUGUAGCGGUGAAAUGCGUAGAGAUCUGAAGGAAUACCGGUGGCGAAGGCGGCCCCCUGGACAGAUACUGACACUCAGAUGCGAAAGCGUGGGGAGCAAACAGGAUUAGAUACCCUGGUAG
RNAcentral lists this ribosomal RNA (477 nucleotides) under uncultured bacterium. RNAcentral describes it as "bacterial SSU rRNA". It matches the Rfam family "Bacterial small subunit ribosomal RNA", at positions 328 to 793 of the family's 1533-position model. The record is from RNAcentral.